AGAAUCAACGCUGGCGGCGUGCCUAACACAUGCAAGUCGCACGAGAAAGUGGAGCAAUCCACGAGUAAAGUGGCGCACGGGUGAGUAACACGUGAAUGAUCUACCUCCGAGUGGGGAAUAACUGAGAGAAAUCUUAGCUAAUACCGCAUAACACUUACGAGUCAAAGCAGCAAUGCGCUUGGAGAGGAGUUCGCGGCCGAUUAGCUAGUUGGCGGGGUAAUGGCCCACCAAGGCGAUGAUCGGUA
RNAcentral lists this ribosomal RNA (245 nucleotides) under uncultured bacterium. RNAcentral's name for it is "partial small subunit ribosomal RNA". It matches the Rfam family "Bacterial small subunit ribosomal RNA", at positions 26 to 285 of the family's 1533-position model. The record is from RNAcentral.